CCUACGGGAGGCUGCAGUGAGGAAUAUUGGUCAAUGGGCGAGAGCCUGAACCAGCCAAGUCGCGUGAGGGAGUACUGCCCUAUGGGUUGUAAACCUCUUUUGUCGGGGAGCAAAAGCCGGACGUGUCCGGCUGUGAGAGUACCCGAAGAAAAAGCAUCGGCUAACUCCGUGCCAGCAGCCGCGGUAAUACGGAGGAUGCGAGCGUUAUCCGGAUUUAUUGGGUUUAAAGGGUGCGUAGGCGGAUUUUUAAGUCAGCGGUAAAAUCGUGGGGCUCAACCCCAUCCAGCCGUUGAAACUGGGGAUCUAGAGUGUGCGAGAGGUAUGCGGAAUGCGUGGUGUAGCGGUGAAAUGCAUAGAUAUCACGCAGAACUCCGAUUGCGAAGGCAGCAUACCGGUGCACAACUGACGCUGAGGCACGAAAGCGUGGGUAUCGAACAGGAUUAGAUACCCGAGUAGUC
This 458-nucleotide ribosomal RNA is filed under the name uncultured bacterium. RNAcentral's name for it is "partial 16S ribosomal RNA". It matches the Rfam family "Bacterial small subunit ribosomal RNA", at positions 338 to 795 of the family's 1533-position model. The record is from RNAcentral.